UGGGGAAUAUUGGACAAUGGGCGAAAGCCUGAUCCAGCAACGCCGCGUGAGGGAUGACGGCCUUCGGGUUGUAAACCUCUUUCAGCGGGGACGAAGCGAAAGUGACGGUACCCGCAGAAGAAGGACCGGCCAACUACGUGCCAGCAGCCGCGGUAAUACGUAGGGUCCGAGCGUUGUCCGGAAUUAUUGGGCGUAAAGGGCUCGUAGGCGGUUUGUCGCGUCUGGAGUGAAAACUCGGGGCUUAACCCCGGGCCAGA
Molecule: ribosomal RNA, 257 nt
Filed under: uncultured bacterium
Lineage: Bacteria
Description: partial 16S ribosomal RNA
Rfam family: Bacterial small subunit ribosomal RNA
Source: RNAcentral